CAGCCGCCGCGGGAAUACAGAGGGUGCGAGCGUUAAUCGGAUUUACUGGGCGUAAAGCGUGCGUAGGCGGCUUCUUAAGUCGGAUGUGAAAUCCCUGAGCUUAACUUAGGAAUUGCAUUCGAUACUGGGAAGCUAGAGUAUGGGAGAGGAUGGUAGAAUUCCAGGUGUAGCGGUGAAAUGCGUAGAGAUCUGGAGGAAUACCGAUGGCGAAGGCAGCCAUCUGGCAUAAUACUGACGCUGAGGUACGAAAGCAUGGGGAGCAAACAGGAUUAGAUACCCGCGUAGUCCCUGUCUCUUAUAU
Molecule: ribosomal RNA, 301 nt
Filed under: uncultured bacterium
Lineage: Bacteria
Description: partial 16S ribosomal RNA
Rfam family: Bacterial small subunit ribosomal RNA
Source: RNAcentral